CAGAGGUUAGUUUAUUAAAAUAUUAGUUUUGGGGAUUAAGGAUAGAAUUUUUCUACUUCUGA
Molecule: transfer RNA, 62 nt
Filed under: Fer nigripennis
Lineage: Eukaryota; Metazoa; Arthropoda; Insecta; Orthoptera; Acrididae
Description: tRNA-Pro
Source: RNAcentral